UACGAAGGGGGCUAGCGUUGCUCGGAAUUACUGGGCGUAAAGGGAGCGUAGGCGGACAUUUAAGUCAGGGGUGAAAUCCCAGAGCUCAACUCUGGAACUGCCUUUGAUACUGGGUGUCUUGAGUGUGAUAGAGGUAUGUGGAACUCCGAGUGUAGAGGUGAAAUUCGUAGAUAUUCGGAAGAACACCAGUGGCGAAGGCGGCCAUCUGGGACAACACUGACGCUGAGGCACGAAAGCGUGGGGAGCACACAGG
Molecule: ribosomal RNA, 253 nt
Filed under: uncultured bacterium
Lineage: Bacteria
Description: partial 16S ribosomal RNA
Rfam family: Bacterial small subunit ribosomal RNA
Source: RNAcentral